AUACUGCGCCUCCACCAAACAUAUCCCUGGCUUCUUUUCUUUUUAUAAGACGCAACACUACCCCCUUGAUUGGUAAUGAUAGUGUGAUCCCUAAAAUAUCUCAGUAACUCCUGAUUACAUCUAAAACAUGUGUGGCGAACACAGCCCAAGUCACUGCGAAGAACAGAAGGAUAUCACACUGUGCGUUCUGGGGAGAGCUUAUUUCGCUUAGCAAAACCUCUUUCAAGGGUCACCAGUGUCGUGGUAUUUUGCUUAACUCUCUAAAGUCGUCAUAGCCACAUCCUGCUGACCGGUCCUGGAGUCCUACAAGGUUUAGAACCUAGAGAAGACUUGGUGGAUAAAGACUUUGGGGAAUUUCAUGAAGCCCUCUGGACACCGAGCUUAGUGCCACACUCCUGUCGCCUCAGCAUUUGGAAACUGAGGCAGAUGGGUCAAGAUUAAGGACAGCUGCCCGUCACAGAGUGAGCUCCAAAUGCUGAAUUUGGCUCAAGAAGCAGAGGAAGCAAAUCCAUACAAACAUCUCCUUACACAUGGCGUGCACUUGGGGCUCUGAAUCCCAGCACGGAAGUGAAGUCACUGUGGUAGGAAGAGCAGGAGGUGUAUGAAGCGCACGGUGGAUGCCGAGAGCAUUUGGAGAGUAUGUACUUUCUGAGAAGCCAGGAGAAAGGAUUUUGAAUGCUUUCAUCAUCAUUAAAAAAAAUGAUGGUUUUGCUGUUGUUGCUGCUGUUGCUGUUGCUGUGAGGGAGAUAAAAUCCAGAACCCGGUGACUACUUGAGUUCUGUCAUCAACCCUGACCACCACCUGAAGACACAAAUUCCUGACAGAAGAAUCUCAAACGAGGACAGACUUACUUCUGGAUCAAGAACCAAGGAGUCUUUCAUAGCAGGGAAGGCAUGGCCCUGGCAUGAUUCUGUUGCUAUGGGAACUUGCUGUGGUGGCUUCUCCCGGGCAUCAAUCAGGAAAAAGUUUUAUUCCCUCUCAGACCUGUUCCAGUGACUCACUCCUUCCUGACAGGCAAUUCAUCCACGGCCUCCCCCACAGGACUCAGAGCUGGAGACUGAGAGUUCACAUUGCAAGAGCCUACGGGCGACGCUUCACACAAAUCACGUCAAUCCGUGUGCCCAUACGCCCCCUUCACCUUCGGACCUGUGCGCUGAACCACCUUUCUAGAGUUUCCUUCCCUCAUUUCCUCGUGACAGUUCUCCACGCUCCAACAGCGGCAUCUCGAUUAAGAAUUCCAGUUCAGGAUUCCUUCCGUUUUUCUGUAUUCCCUCGGAACUGAACGUUUCUCCUGGAAUUUAUUAACUCUACCUUUAGUUUGCUCCUGGGUGCCAGACUUCUUAUGUACUACUUACAGUACCCGAGAGCCUGACGCAUAUCGGGUGCCUCCCCGUUUCUCCCACUUCCUGUCUUGUCUCCUUCUCCCUCCUCCUCCUUGUUUUGGGGGUUUUAUGGUUGAUCCCAGGGUUGCGCCUGUGUUUGGAAAGUACCAGUGAGCACUCUUUGCCCUGGUUGUUUUGGAAGGAGUGAUACACAUGCCCCUCCAGGACACGCAUCAGGACUCUGCUCAGGUCACCCCUCACGUUUCUGAGGAGCUCAAUGAGUGCUCAGUGAGAGAGAGGACUCCCUGCUUAGUGACUGGGGGCUCAGCUGGUCAACCCUCAGGGGACAACAGUGCGUAAUGUCAUGUUGUGGGUUCCCACCAGGGUUGGAGGUAGAAUUUAGAUUCUCCUCUUUCUACCAGGAAGAAGUAGCUUUGCCACAGCAUGCUUCCACAAAGCCACACGGUCACUUAAGUGCUAAGGAGGGGCUUCCUUUUGCAGCGUCAUAAGGGCCACAGGGAGGUCACUAUGAGGAAGGCGGACCAUCCGCAAUGGCCUCCAGGGAUGCAGGUAUCUGUCUAGCUGACAUUAUAUAUGGUCAAUGUGAUUGCAACUUCUCAGGAAGAUGUAUUGAAAGUGCAGAUUGCUUUUAAGAUACAAACCUUCCAAAAAUGCUAAAUUGGGGAAAUAUAUCCUCAAAUAGCAGAAAUAUAUAUAAUUUGUUUGUAAACCACUUAUUUUAAAGUGCUGUGCCUGUCUGUGUGCGUAUCUAUGUGUGUGUGUAUGUGUGUGUAGUGUGUGAGUGCCUACACACACAAGAACAUGCAUGCCACUGUGUGUGUGCAGGUCAGAGGACACCUUUUCCAGGUUCUCUUCCCCCACCUCCUUGUAGAGUUGGACUGUACAUACUCCACGCUAGCUGGGCUAUGAGUUUCCAGUAAAUUCUGUGUCUUCACCUUCCAGCACACUGUACUAUUAUAAGGAGACCCUUUAGUAUAGGCUCUGCCACUCUGCUGACUUUUCACACGGGUUCUGGGGGUCAAGUUUAGGCGGCAAGGGCUUUACCCACCGCGCUAACUGCUGGCUCUCAUUUCCAAGUCUUACAGAAUUUAUCAUUGAAACUUCCAUAAAGACUAGGACCAUGUUUACCCUGUGAUUACAUUAUGAGGCCGGUGCUUACAAUGCAAUGCCAGAGAUGUAGAGUCAGUAUGAAGUAAAGCUAAGGGGACAAGAGAUGCCAUUGGAGGACCGGACAAAGCCAAGGGAUGUGAGGAGGAGGUGACUUGGAGGGCUAGGGAGGUUUCUGGAGGAUUCUAAACAAGGGGAGGGGUGGAACACGACACGUCAGUUUCCCUUAUCAGCUGGCUGGGGAGUCUUCCCACUGUAGGUCACAGAAUAUAAAAACAUGUGUCAAAGGAGGAGGAGGGGUGGUGAAUAUGUGGAGAACACCCCAGUCGUAAAUUUACAGGUCAGUUGAUAAUUAUACAGCAGUGUGCGCUUCAUCACGGGUGCAAGGAGCCCAGGCCACUUUAUUUGGGCUCUAUUCUUCGUUUGGUACCAAGCUUACCAUUUCGUUGUUUUAAUUUCUCAUGAAAUUCAUGUUGCUAUGGUCGUUUCAACAACCCAAGAGUAAAGCAAAACUUAUUUCUUCCAAGUUGCGU
This is a long non-coding RNA of Apodemus sylvaticus (European woodmouse), 2983 nucleotides long. RefSeq lists it as uncharacterized. The transcript is spliced from 5 exons. Lineage: Eukaryota; Metazoa; Chordata; Mammalia; Rodentia; Muridae. The record is from RefSeq and is a predicted model, not a curated record.